RNAcentral lists this long non-coding RNA (1423 nucleotides) under Homo sapiens (human). RNAcentral describes it as "HSALNT0396474". Lineage: Eukaryota; Metazoa; Chordata; Mammalia; Primates; Hominidae. The record is from RNAcentral.
CUCAGGAGUGGCUGACUGGGGCUCCCUCCAGCCUGGGAUGGGGCUCUCUCUGGUUGGGGUUCUUCACCUGCAGCCCAAAGCCCAGAGCGGGUGGGGGCCUCCCUGUGCACCAGACACAGCCGAAGCCCAGCUACUCCUCCUCCUGCCCCAGCCCCACCUCACUUCUGGAAGCCUCUCUACAUGCCCUGACUCAUUCAUUCAUCUAAGUAUCUCCUGACAGGGCCUGCGCUGGGUGCAGGGACAUGCGAGCAAGCUACAGGCCUAGUGUGGCUGAUCUCGAACUCCUGAGCUCAAGCGAUCCUCCUGUCUUGGCCUCCCAAAGUGCUGGGAUUACAGGCGCGAGCCACUGCAACUGGCCCAUUAAAUUUUUAACCCCGUACUUGACGGAUCAGCUGACACUACCCAGACCAGUAAUCUGGCUCAACCAGUCCUGCGAUCCCACCCAGGAACAGAAGACAGCAAGAAAACCUCACUUCAACACUCCCGUCGAUGACUCCAUCGACCUCAGGAAGCUCCAACCAAUCAGCACUCCCCACUUCCUGAGCCCCUACCCGCCAAAUUAUCUUUCAAAACUCGGAUCCCCUAAUGCUCAGCGGAGACUGAUUUGAGCAAUAAUAAAACUCUGGUCUCCUGCAUAGCUGGCUCUGUGUGAAAUACUCUUUCUCCACUGCAAUUCCCCUGUCUUGAUAAAUCUGUCUAGGAAGACAGGCAAGGUGAACCCAUUGGGUGGUUACACACUGACCAGCCGGAUUUAGGGAGAGUUCUCACUAAUCCACAGUUCUGAUGCAGCCACCCCUGGGGGACCCUCCUGGUUACUGAAUCUCCCACUGUCUCACAGAGUCUGGAAGUCACAUCCCCAACAAGGGCCUUGGUUUCUCUCAUUGAAAAAAGAAGGACCAGAAGCUGAUGGGCCAGGAAACUCCCAGCUCUGAAUUCCUUUUCCGAUCUGCACAGUGGGGGACACGGGCACUUUCUAGCCCAGAUCCAGAACUUCCAGAAUCAUAAACAAUGGGCCCUGCAGAGACCUGGGCCGCAAUUUUUCCUUCUUUGUAUUGGGAGGAUGUACUUUGUCCACCCCUAGCUCAAAACGCCCCCUUCCGCUGGAAUGACAUGCUAUGUGACCCAAGGAGAAACACCACACCCCAGCACCAGGCCUGCUUUUCAGCCAGAAACCAAGAGGCCUAGGAGGCUGUGCUGCUAGCAUCUUGCAAGCUCUGAAAUUCCUAAAACUAAGUUUCACAACUCAGACUGGCCCCCUACUUCCCAGCACUCUAGUUUUCAAUCAGGGAGGUCAGACUGGGCCCGAAGCGUAAGGGACCCCUUCCCUGCCCAAAAACUCUCUGCUGCAUUUGGCGGAUCCCCACCUUUUUUUUUUUUACUUCAGUUUCCCCACCUGCAAACUGGGAAAACUAACUAAGGCGAG